UGCCGUUCCUAGAGGAUUCAAGAACUAACUGAUUCAGCGUAACAAAAGUAUAAGACAAAACUUUCUCUUUUGUUGCUGCCCUUUCACAAACAGCAGUAAUUAAUAGCAAGAUAAAAACAUACUAGCAACUGUCCUGUUUUCAAAAGACCAGCUAUACGUCAGCAUUCUUCCUUUGGAGGAUCACCUAUAAGACAGAAACACUGAAGUGGAGGUGCCGUUCCCAAUUUACCUGUGAAGUAAGUUGACUAUAUAAUGACUGAUGCAAGGAGUGGUGGAAGCAAGGGAGUUCCUGCUACAAGAGACAACCACCCCCAAAAAAGUAAACCUAAAUUUCAAGGAUGGUGACCACCCCCUUGGCAUAUGUCAGGAAAAAUACAUAGAAGACAGCUAAAUAAAGACUAAG
Terrapene triunguis (Three-toed box turtle) is the source of this 403-nucleotide long non-coding RNA. RefSeq lists it as uncharacterized. Lineage: Eukaryota; Metazoa; Chordata; Testudines; Emydidae. The transcript has 4 exons. The record is from RefSeq and is a predicted model, not a curated record.